UGACGCCUGCCCGGUGCCGGAAGGUUAAUUGAUGGGGUUAGCGCAAGCGAAGCUCUUGAUCGAAGCCCCGGUAAACGGCGGCCGUAACAAUAACGGUCCUAAGGUAGCGAAAUUCCUUGUCGGGUAAGUUCCGACCUGCACGAAUGGCGUAACGAUGGCGGCGCUGUCUCCACCCGAGACUCAGUGAAAUUGAAAUCGCUGUGAAGAUGCAGUGUAUCCGCGGCUAGACGGAAAGACCCCGUGAACCUUUACUAUAGCUUUGCACUGGACUUUGAGCUUGCUUGUGUAGGAUAGGUGGGAGGCUUUGAAGUGGGGACGCCAGUUCUCAUGGAGCCAUCCUUGAAAUACCACCCUGGCAACCUUGAGGUUCUAACUCAGGUCCGUUAUCCGGAUCGAGGACAGUGUAUGGUGGGUAGUUUGACUGGGGCGGUCUCCUCCCAAAGAGUAACGGAGGAGUACGAAGGUGCGCUCAGACCGGUCGGAAAUCGGUCGUAGAGUAUAAAGGCAAAAGCGCGCUUGACUGCGAGACACACACGUCGAGCAGGUACGAAAGUAGGUCUUAGUGAUCCGGUGGUUCUGUAUGGAAGGGCCAUCGCUCAACGGAUAAAAGGUACUCCGGGGAUAACAGGCUGAUACCGCCCAAGAGUUCAUAUCGACGGCGGUGUUUGGCACCUCGAUGUCGGCUCAUCACAUCCUGGGGCUGAAGCCGGUCCCAAGGGUAUGGCUGUUCGCCAUUUAAAGUGGUACGCGAGCUGGGUUUAGAACGUCGUGAGACAGUUCGGUCCCUAUCUGCCGUGGACGUUUGAGAUUUGAGAGGGGCUGCUCCUAGUACGAGAGGACCGGAGUGGACGAACCUCUGGUGUUCCGGUUGUCACGCCAGUGGCAUUGCCGGGUAGCUAUGUUCGGAAGAGAUAACCGCUGAAAGCAUCUAAGCGGGAAACUUGCCUCAAGAUGAGAUCUCACUGGAGCCUUGAGCUCCCUGAAGGGCCGUCGAAGACUACGACGUUGAUAGGUUGGGUGUGUAAGCGCUGUGAGGCGUUGAGCUAACCAAUACUAAUUGC
This 1061-nucleotide ribosomal RNA is filed under the name Mischocyttarus flavitarsis. RNAcentral's name for it is "bacterial LSU rRNA". It matches the Rfam family "Bacterial large subunit ribosomal RNA", at positions 1853 to 2908 of the family's 2925-position model. Lineage: Eukaryota; Metazoa; Arthropoda; Insecta; Hymenoptera; Vespidae. The record is from RNAcentral.